This 253-nucleotide ribosomal RNA is filed under the name uncultured bacterium. Its description in RNAcentral is "partial 16S ribosomal RNA". It matches the Rfam family "Bacterial small subunit ribosomal RNA", at positions 524 to 776 of the family's 1533-position model. The record is from RNAcentral.
UACGGAGGAUGCAAGCGUUAUCCGGAAUUAUUGGGCGUAAAGCGUCCGCAGGUGGUUUUGAAAGUUUGCUGUCAAAGCGCGGAGCUUAACUUCGUACCGGCAGUGAAAACUCCAAGACUAGAGUUUGGUAGGGGUCACGGGAAUUCCCAGUGUAGCGGUGAAAUGCGUAGAGAUUGGGAGGAACACCAGUGGCGAAGGCGGCUCACUGGACCGGUACUGACGCUGAUGCGCGAAAGCGUGGGGAGCAAACAGG